Molecule: long non-coding RNA, 217 nt
Organism: Solanum verrucosum
Lineage: Eukaryota; Viridiplantae; Streptophyta; Magnoliopsida; Solanales; Solanaceae
Exons: 2
Source: RefSeq, a predicted model, not a curated record
CCCUGACCCCUACCCCUCUCUUCACUCGCAUAUCCCAAUAACAAACCACGAGCUUCUUCUUCAACAUUUGCAUCACUCUCUAUCUGACACUCACUUCCUCCCUCUCUAGAAAAAGUUUCAGAAAAUCUAGUGAAGAAACAACAAAGAUCUUUUUUUUCAUUUGGUGGCUUGGAUUGAAGACUAUAAUAUACUGCACUGGACCAAUCAACAUGCCGUG